Molecule: long non-coding RNA, 4869 nt
Filed under: Homo sapiens (human)
Lineage: Eukaryota; Metazoa; Chordata; Mammalia; Primates; Hominidae
Description: non-protein coding lnc-RBM11-16:1
Source: RNAcentral
GUCAGAGAAGGUGCUUGACAUUAUUUCCAUUUUUAAAAAAAUCUUUUAAGACUUGUUUUGUGGCCUAACACACAGUCCAUUCUUAAGAAUGAUCCAUGUGCUAAGAAACCAAAUGUGUAUUCUGCAGCUGGAAAAAAAAUUGUUCCGUAAGUGUCUGUUAAUAUUAGGUCCAUUUGGUCUAACUGCAGACUAAGUCCAAUGUUUCUUACUUUAUUUUCUGUCCACAUGCUCAUCUAAUGCUGAAAGUGGGCUGUUGAAGUCUCCAGCUAUUAUUGUAUUGGGGUCUAUCUCUCUUUUUAGCUCUAAUAAUAUUUGCUUUAAAUAUCUAAUUGCUCCAGUGUUGGGUGCAUAUAUAUUUACAAUUAUUAUAUCUUCUUGCUGAAUUGACCUCUUUAUCAUUACUUAAUGAGCUUUUUUGUCUCUCUUCAUAGAUUUUUUUCUUGAAAUCUAUUUUAUUUUAUAUAAGUGUAGCUAGUCCUGCUCUUGUUUUGUUUUCAUUGGCAUAGAAUAUCUUUUUCCAACCCUUUAUUUUCAGUCUAUAUGUAUCUUUGUAGUUAAAGUAUCUUUUUUGUAGGCAACAGAUUAUUGGGUCUUGCUUUUUAAUCCAGUUAGUCACUCUAUGUCUUUUGAAUGGAGAGUUUAGUACAUUUGCAUUCAAUGUUACUCUUGAUAAGUAAGGAUUUACUCUUGCUGUUUUGUUGUUUUCUGAUUGUUUUGUGGUCUUUUAUUCCUUUAUUCCUUCCUUCCUAUCUUUCUUUAGUGAAGGUGCAUUUCUCUGGUGGUAUGUUUUAAUGUCUUGCUUUUUAUUUUUUGUGUGUUUGUUGUAGGUUUUUUUAUUUGACAUUAUCAUGAGGCUUGCAAGGAAUAUCUUAUAACCUGUUAUUUUAAACUGAUGAUAACUUACCACUGAUUAUAUAAACAAACUAACAAGCAAAAAAAAAAAAAACCUUAAUAAAAAGUCUACAUUUUAACUUUAUCCCUCCUUUUUAACUUUUUGUUGUUUCUAUUUAGUUCUUAUCAUAAUGUCUAUGUCUUGAAAAGUUGUACAUCUUAUUUUUGACAGGUUCAUCUUUUGGUCUUUCUACUCAACGUAUGUGUAGUUUGCACUCCACAAUUACAGUGUGAUGAUAUUGAUGAUAUUUUGUCUUACUGUGUCCUUGUCCUUCUUUUUUUUUUUUUUUUUUUUUUUUGAGAUAGGGUCUCACUCUUCCAGGCUGGAGUGGAGUGGCUCAAUUUUGGCUCACUACAACCUCCGCCUCCCAGGCACAAGCAAUCCUCCCACCUCAGCAUCCCAAGUAGCGUGAACCACCACACCUGGCUAAUUUUUGUGUUUUUUUUUAGAGAUGGGUUUUGUAUUUUUAGUAAGAUGGAUUUUGUGUUUUAUGUAGAGAUAUUUUUUGUAGAAAUGGGUUUCCUCAUGUCUCCCAGGCUUGUCUCAAACUCCUGAGCUCAAGUGAUCCUCCUUUCUUGGCCUCCCACAAUGCUGAGAUUACACCAUGCCUGGCCUGUACUUACUAUUAACAGUGAGUUUUGUACCUUCAGAUGAUUUCUUACUGCUCAUUAACAUCCUUUUUAUUUGAGAUUGAAGAACUCCUUUUAGCAUUCCUUUUAAGACAGGUCCAGUGUUGAAAUCCCUCAGCUUUUGUUGGUCUAGGAAAGUAUUUCUCCUUCAUGUUUGAAGGAUAUUUUCACUGGAUGUACUAUUCUAGGAUAAAAGUUUUUUCUUCAUCACUGUGAAUAUGUCAUGCCACUGUCUCCUAGCCUGUGAAGUUUCCAAUGAGAAACUUCUCUGCCAGGCAUAUUGAAGCUCCUUUUUAUGUUAUUUUUUUCCCUUGCUGUUUUUAAGAUCCAUUCUUUAUCCUAGACCUUUAGGAGUUUGAUUAUUAAAUGUUUUGAGGUAGUCUUAUUUUGAUUAAGGUGUUCUAUAGCCUUCUUGUACUUGAUUAUUAGUAUCUUUUUCUAGAUUUCAGAGGUUCUCUGUUCUUAUACCUUUGAAUAAACUUUCUAUCCCUAUCUCUCUUUCUAUCUUCUCUUUAAGGCCAAUAACUCUUAAAUUUGCCCUUUUGAGGCAAUCUUCUAGAUCUUGUAGGCAUACUUCAUUCUUUUUUAUUCUUUUUUCUUUUGUCUCUUCUGACUAUGUAUUUUAAAUAACCUAUCUUCAAGCUCACUAAUACUUUCUUUGGCUUGAUUAAUUCUGCUGUUAAAAGUCUGAUGUACUCUUCAGUAUGUCGUACUCUUCAGUAUGUCGAUUGCAUUUUCAGUUCUAGAAUUUCUGCUUGAUUCUUUUUAAUUAUUUUAAUUAAUUUGUUUAAUUUAUCUGAUAGGAUUCCAAAUUCCUUCUCUGUGUCAUCCUGAAUUUUGUUGUGCUUCCUCAAAACAGCUAUUUUGUUGUUUUUGUCUAUUUUCUUUUUUUGAGACAGGGGCUCACUCAGUCCUCCAGGCUGAAGUGCAAUGGUGUGAUCAUGGCUCAAUGCAGCCUCUACCUCCCAGGCUCAAGCAAUCCUCCUGCCUGAUCCUCCGAAGUAAUUGAGAUCACAGACAUAUGAUAUCACCAUACCCAGCUAAUUAAUAAAAUUUUUUUUGUAGAGAUGGGGUCCCACUAUGUUGCCCAGACUGGUUUGAAACUCCUGGGCUCAAGUAGUCCUCGUCUCACCCUCGCAAAGUGCUGGAAUUACAGACAUGAGCCACUGCACCCAAACAAACAGCUAUUUUGGAUCAUCUGUCUGAGAGUUCACAUACUUCGGUCUCUCUGGACUGGGCACUGGUGUCUCAUUUAGUUUGGUUAGGUCAUGUUUUUCUGGGUGGUCUUGAUGCUUGUGGAUGUUCAUUGGUAUCUGGGCAUUGAAUAUUUAGGUAUUUAUUGAAGUCUUUACAGUCUGUGCUUGUUUUUACCCAUCCUUCUUGGAAAGCUUUCCGAUAAUUCAAAGGGACCUGAAUGUUAUGAUCUAAGUCUUUGGUCACUGUAGCCAUGUCUCCAUUUAGAGGACAUCCCAAGGCCAGUAGCACUGUGGCUCUUGCAGUCUCAUAGAUGUACCACUUUGGUGCUCUUGGGUAAGAUCUGGAGGAAUUCCUUGAAUUACCAGGGAGAGACUCUUGUUCUCUUCCUUACUUUACCCCAAACAAAUGGAGUCUCUCUCUCUUCCCUUACUUUCCCCCAGACAAACUGGGUCUCUCUCUCUUUCUCUGUGCUGACCUGCCUAGAGCUGGAGGAGGGGUGACACAAGCACCCCUGUGGCCACCACCACUGAUACAGAACUGGGUCAGACUUGAAGCCAACACAGCACUCGGUCUCACUCAAGGCCCACAGUGACCACUGCCUGGCUACCGCCUAUGUUCACUCAAGGCCCAAGGACUCUACAAUCAGCAGGUGGCAAAUUCAGCCAGGUUUGUGUCCUUCCCUUCAGGGCAAGGAGUUCCCUGGGGCCCUGGGCAGGUCCUGAAAUGCUGUCUGGGAGCCAGGGCCUGGAGUCAGGAAUCUUAGGAAUCUACCUGGUACUGUAUUCUACUGCAGCUGAGCUGGCACCCAAGCCACAAGACAAAGCUCUUACCACUCUUCUCCCCUUUCCUCAUGCAGAGGAGUGUCUCCCAGUGGCCACCACUGCCCCAGGCUGGUGGUAAGUAAUUCCUGGUUACCUCCUAUGUUGACUCAAGGCCCAAGGACUCUGAAGUCAGCUUGUGGUAAAUGCUGCCAGGCCUGGGUCUUUCUCUUCAGGGCAGUUGACUCCCCUCUGGCCCAGGACUUGUCCAGAAAUGCCAUCCAGAAUCCAAGGCCUGGAAUCAAGGACCCCAGGUGCCUGCUUGGUGCUCUAUCCCACUGUGGCUGAGCUGGUAACCAAGCUGCAAGACAUAGUCCCCUUUACUCAUUCCUCUCCUUUUCUUAAACAGAAAAAAAGUCUCCUUGUGGCCAAUACAGCUGUAAAUGUGCUAGGUCACACCUGAAGCCAGCAUAGCUGUGAGCCGAACCCAAGGCCUGCAGUGAGUACUGCCUGGCUUCCACUGUUGAUUAUUCAGGGCCCAAGUGCUCUUUAGUCAGCUGGUGAUAAAUCCUGCCCAUUCUGAGUCCUUCCUGUCAAGGCAAUGGGUUCCCUUCUGGCAAAAGGUGUGUCUACAAAUGUCAACAGGGAUAGGGCCUGGAACGAGGGGCCUCAGGACUCUGCCUGGUCCCCUGUUCUACUGUGGUUCAGCUAGUACCCAAGUUGCAAGACAUAGUGCUAUUUUCUCUCCCCUCUCCUCUCUUCAAGUGGAGUCUCUCCUGGAGCUGUGAGCUGCAUUACCAGGGUCUGGGGGAGGGGUGGCUCAAGCACUCCCUCGGCCUCCCCAGCUGGUGUCUCACUAGAUUGUAUGCAUCCCAAGUCCACUGCUCUGAACCCAGCACAACAUCAGGACUUGCCCAGGAAUUGCAGUCCUUGUGGCCUAGGCUACCUUUCAAGUUUAUUUAGGACCCCAUAGCACACAAAGUGGUGGGGUUUGCAGGAACUCAGGUUCUGACCACUGGAAUGGAUGAUUUGCCUCUGGCUAGGGCUGGUCUAAAUGCUCCGUUUCGUGGGUACUGGCUGAUUUCUGCCCCCUUUUGCUUUCUGCUAUAACAGGGUAGCACUGAGUUCCAGUGCAAAGUCCCACAAUCAAUGCAUUCUCCCUCCCCAACGUGCACAGAUUCUCUCUCCAAGCCACAUGGCUGCUACCAGGCAAUGUGGUAGGAGCGGCAUUGGCAAUUCAAGACUGCCUUUUCAAGACACAACAAAAAAAGAAAAUUUCAGGCCAAUAUCCCUGAUGAACAUUAAUGUGAAAAUUCUCAAUAAAAUACUGGCAAACUGAAUCCAGCGGCACAUCAAAAAGCUUAUCCAUUACGAUCAAGUCGGCUUCAUACCG